Salmo salar (Atlantic salmon) is the source of this 943-nucleotide non-coding RNA. NCBI's taxonomy places the organism in Eukaryota, Metazoa, Chordata, Actinopteri, Salmoniformes, Salmonidae. The record is from RefSeq and is a predicted model, not a curated record.
UACAGCCCUGCAUCAGUGUGCAAAUAAUGAAUUUUCACAUAAGAGAAGUGUGUUCCAAGAAAAAGGUAACAAAAAAGCUUUUCGUUUCGGUGUAUGCUUUGAUUGCUUCAGUUUCGGCUUUGGAGAAAUGUUGACUUACUGUUGGCUCCGACCUGUCGUGCUUCGGGGUCAAGACUCCCAUAUAAAUAUGUAUCAAGAUCCGGGAUCAAAACUCCUGCCUAUAUGAAGCUACCUGACUGGCACGAUCAAGCAUGGACAAUCAGUCUCGGCGUUGGUGGACUCUGUCAUGCGAGGACCGGUGGUCUACUGCACCACUGAGCUCCGGGAUCAUAGCAAAACUCCAAGCGAGGGAGUGGUAAUGCUGGAUCAAAGGGCUGGGACUGGCACAACACCAUGGGUCAACAAGCGCCAACAACAGCGUGGAGUCUAUUGGGGGGACUAUGUUUCAUGAAGCCAUUAGAAGACUGUUGCUCACUGAGAGGAGUCAGGCAACAACCCAUACUGUACUGGUGGUAGGUAGCCCAGAGGCUAAGGAUUUGGACCUGUGGCAGGAGAUGGACCUGUGUCCGGUUUGAAUUCCGGGCCGGGCACUGGAAAAACGGGCAGAAUUGAUCUGACAACUGGAGGGCUGCUGGGUUCACAUCCUCAAAACAUUCCCCUACUGUUGGGCCCUUGACCAAAGCCCUUAACCCCAUAACAUGCUCUCCAUCCAGGUGUGCUGCACUGCAGCUUGAACCUGUGCUCAACUGUAUGUGUGAGGUCUGCUGUUUGGGGGGUUGAGCACAGAGCAGAAGACACAUUUUUGUUGUUUGCUGUAACUAACAGAGAAAGUUGUAUUGUAAAGAAGUCAGCCAGAGUUGACAUGGUCCACCGUUCAAGCAAAUAGAUGCCUCCCUGGCCACCAGUGCAUAUUUCCAAACUAUGUUUGCAUAUAAUAACAAUA